GAUGAACGCUGGCGGCGUGCCUAAUACAUGCAAGUCGAGCGAACGGACGAGAAGCUUGCUUCUCUGAUGUUAGCGGCGGACGGGUGAGUAACACGUGGAUAACCUACCUAUAAGACUGGGAUAACUUCGGGAAACCGGAGCUAAUACCGGAUAAUAUUUUGAACCGCAUGGUUCAAAAGUGAAAGACGGUCUUGCUGUCACUUAUAGAUGGAUCCGCGCUGCAUUAGCUAGUUGGUAAGGUAACGGCUUACCAAGGCAACGAUGCAUAGCCGACCUGAGAGGGUGAUCGGCCACACUGGAACUGAGACACGGUCCAGACUCCUACGGGAGGCAGCAGUAGGGAAUCUUCCGCAAUGGGCGAAAGCCUGACGGAGCAACGCCGCGUGAGUGAUGAAGGUCUUCGGAUCGUAAAACUCUGUUAUUAGGGAAGAACAUAUGUGUAAGUAACUGUGCACAUCUUGACGGUACCUAAUCAGAAAGCCACGGCUAACUACGUGCCAGCAGCCGCGGUAAUACGUAGGUGGCAAGCGUUAUCCGGAAUUAUUGGGCGUAAAGCGCGCGUAGGCGGUUUUUUAAGUCUGAUGUGAAAGCCCACGGCUCAACCGUGGAGGGUCAUUGGAAACUGGAAAACUUGAGUGCAGAAGAGGAAAGUGGAAUUCCAUGUGUAGCGGUGAAAUGCGCAGAGAUAUGGAGGAACACCAGUGGCGAAGGCGACUUUCUGGUCUGUAACUGACGCUGAUGUGCGAAAGCGUGGGGAUCAAACAGGAUUAGAUACCCUGGUAGUCCACGCCGUAAACGAUGAGUGCUAAGUGUUAGGGGGUUUCCGCCCCUUAGUGCUGCAGCUAACGCAUUAAGCACUCCGCCUGGGGAGUACGACCGCAAGGUUGGAACUCAAAGGAAUUGACGGGGACCCGCACAAGCGGUGGAGCAUGUGGUUUAAUUCGAAGCAACGCGAAGAACCUUACCAAAUCUUGACAUCCUUUGACAACUCUAGAGAUAGAGCUUUCCCCUUCGGGGGGCAAAGUGACAGGUGGUGCAUGGUUGUCGUCAGCUCGUGUCGUGAGAUGUUGGGUUAAGUCCCGCAACGAGCGCAACCCUUAAGCUUAGUUGCCAUCAUUAAGUUGGGCACUCUAAGUUGACUGCCGGUGACAAACCGGAGGAAGGUGGGGAUGACGUCAAAUCAUCAUGCCCCUUAUGAUUUGGGCUACACACGUGCUACAAUGGACAAUACAAAGGGCAGCGAAACCGUGAGGUCAAGCAAAUCCCAUAAAGUUGUUCUCAGUUCGGAUUGUAGUCUGCAACUCGACUACAUGAAGCUGGAAUCGCUAGUAAUCGUAGAUCAGCAUGCUACGGUGAAUACGUUCCCGGGUCU
RNAcentral lists this ribosomal RNA (1372 nucleotides) under uncultured bacterium. RNAcentral describes it as "bacterial SSU rRNA". It matches the Rfam family "Bacterial small subunit ribosomal RNA", at positions 28 to 1381 of the family's 1533-position model. The record is from RNAcentral.